GCGAACGUGGCGCGGCACGCGCGGGCCCGGCAGGUCCGCGUCACGCUGUCGUUCAUGGACGACGUGGUCGCGC
RNAcentral lists this transfer RNA (73 nucleotides) under Actinomadura cremea. RNAcentral's name for it is "tRNA-Ala". Lineage: Bacteria; Bacillati; Actinomycetota; Actinomycetes; Streptosporangiales; Thermomonosporaceae. The record is from RNAcentral.